GUCCUAGCCGUAAACGAUGGACACUAGGUGUUGGUGGUAUCAACCCCGCCAGUGCCGAAGCUAACGCAUUAAGUGUCCCGCCUGGGGAGUACGGCCGCAAGGCUAAAACUCAAAGGAAUUGACGGGGGCCCGCACAAGCAGCGGAGCGUGGGGUUUAAUUCGACGCAACGCGAAGAACCUUACCAAGGCUUGACAUGACCAGGACAGCGGCGGAAACGUCGUCUUCCCGCAAGGGACCUGGCCACAGGUGUUGCAUGGCUGUCGU
This 265-nucleotide ribosomal RNA is filed under the name uncultured bacterium. RNAcentral describes it as "partial 16S ribosomal RNA". It matches the Rfam family "Bacterial small subunit ribosomal RNA", at positions 793 to 1055 of the family's 1533-position model. The record is from RNAcentral.